GAGUUUGAUCCUGGCUCAGAUUGAACGCUGGCGGCAUGCCUUACACAUGCAAGUCGAACGGCAGCAUGAUCUAGCUUGCUAGAUUGAUGGCGAGUGGCGAACGGGUGAGUAAUACAUCGGAACGUGCCCUGUAGUGGGGGAUAACUAGUCGAAAGAUUAGCUAAUACCGCAUACGACCUGAGGGUGAAAGUGGGGGACCGCAAGGCCUCAUGCUAUAGGAGCGGCCGAUGUCUGAUUAGCUAGUUGGUGGGUAAAGGCCCACCAAGGCGACGAUCAGUAGCUGGUCUGAGAGGACGAUCAGCCACACUGGGACUGAGACACGGCCCAGACUCCUACGGGAGGCAGCAGUGGGGAAUUUUGGACAAUGGGCGAAAGCCUGAUCCAGCAAUGCCGCGUGUGUGAAGAAGGCCUCGGUUGU
RNAcentral lists this ribosomal RNA (418 nucleotides) under uncultured microorganism. Its description in RNAcentral is "bacterial SSU rRNA". It matches the Rfam family "Bacterial small subunit ribosomal RNA", at positions 9 to 426 of the family's 1533-position model. The record is from RNAcentral.